This 740-nucleotide ribosomal RNA is filed under the name uncultured bacterium. Its description in RNAcentral is "bacterial SSU rRNA". It matches the Rfam family "Bacterial small subunit ribosomal RNA", at positions 8 to 796 of the family's 1533-position model. The record is from RNAcentral.
AGAGUUUGAUCAUGGCUCAGAACGAACGCUGGCGGCAGGCUUAACACAUGCAAGUCGAGCGCCCAGCAAUGGGAGCGGCGGACGGGUGAGUAACACGUGGGAACAUGCCUUUCGGUACGGAACAACGCAGGGAAACUUGCGCUAAUACCGUAUGCGCCGGAAACGGGAAAGAUUUAUCGCCGAAAGAUUGGCCCGCGUCUGAUUAGCUUGUUGGUGAGGUAACGGCUCACCAAGGCUUCGAUCAGUAGCUGGUUUGAGAGAGCGACCAGCCACACUGGGACUGAGACACGGCCCAGACUCCUACGGGAGGCAGCAGUGGGGAAUCUUGGACAAUGGGCGAAAGCCUGAUCCAGCCAUGCCGCGUGAGUGAUGAAGGCCCUAGGGUUGUAAAACUCUUUCGGCGGGGACGAUAAUGACGGUACCCGCAGAAGAAGCUCCGGCUAACUUCGUGCCAGCAGCCGCGGUAAUACGAAGGGGGCUAGCGUUGUUCGGAAUUACUGGGCGUAAAGCGUGCGCAGGCGGCUCAUCAAGUCAGAGGUGAAAGCCCAGGGCUCAACCCUGGAACGGCCUUUGAAACUGAUGGGCUGGAGUGCGGGAGAGGUGAGUGGAAUUCCCAGUGUAGAGGUGAAAUUCGUAGAUAUUGGGAAGAACACCAGUGGCGAAGGCGGCUCACUGGCCCGUUUCUGACGCUCAUGCACGACAGCGUGGGGAUCAAACAGGAUUAGAUACCCUAGUAGUCC